GGAGGGGUUCCCGAGUGGCCAAAGGGAUCAGACUGUAAAUCUGACGCGGCUUCGCAGGUUCGAAUCCUGCCCCCUCCACCA
Molecule: transfer RNA, 81 nt
Filed under: Marinobacter sp.
Lineage: Bacteria; Pseudomonadati; Pseudomonadota; Gammaproteobacteria; Pseudomonadales; Marinobacteraceae
Description: tRNA-Tyr
Rfam family: tRNA
About the family: Transfer RNA (tRNA) molecules are approximately 80 nucleotides in length. Their secondary structure includes four short double-helical elements and three loops (D, anti-codon, and T loops). Further hydrogen bonds mediate the characteristic L-shaped molecular structure. tRNAs have two regions of fundamental functional importance: the anti-codon, which is responsible for specific mRNA codon recognition, and the 3' end, to which the tRNAs corresponding amino acid is attached (by aminoacyl-tRNA synthetases). tRNAs cope with the degeneracy of the genetic code in two manners: having more than one tRNA (with a specific anti-codon) for a particular amino acid; and 'wobble' base-pairing, i.e. permitting non-standard base-pairing at the 3rd anti-codon position.
Source: RNAcentral